Molecule: ribosomal RNA, 371 nt
Filed under: uncultured bacterium
Lineage: Bacteria
Description: bacterial SSU rRNA
Rfam family: Bacterial small subunit ribosomal RNA
Source: RNAcentral
AUUGAACGCUGGCGGAAUGCUUUACACAUGCAAGUCGAACGGCAGCACGGGGCAACCUGGUGGCGAGUGGCGAACGGGUGAGUAAUACAUCGGAACGUGCCCAAUCGUGGGGGAUAACGUAGCGAAAGUUACGCUAAUACCGCAUACGAUCUACGGAUGGAAGCGGGGGAUCGCAAGACCUCGCGCGAAUGGAGCGGCCGAUGUCAGAUUAGGUAGUUGGUGGGGUAAAGGCUCACCAAGCCAACGAUCUGUAGCUGGUCUGAGAGGACGACCAGCCACACUGGAACUGAGACACGGUCCAGACUCCUACGGGAGGCAGCAGUGGGAAUUUGGACAAUGGGCGCGAAGCCUGAUCCAGCCAUUCCGCGUGC